RNAcentral lists this ribosomal RNA (253 nucleotides) under uncultured bacterium. RNAcentral's name for it is "partial 16S ribosomal RNA". It matches the Rfam family "Bacterial small subunit ribosomal RNA", at positions 524 to 776 of the family's 1533-position model. The record is from RNAcentral.
UACGUAGGUGGCAAGCGUUGUCCGGAUUUAUUGGGCGUAAAGGGAACGCAGGCGGUCUUUUAAGUCUGAUGUGAAAGCCUUCGGCUUAACCGGAGUAGUGCAUUGGAAACUGGAAGACUUGAGUGCAGAAGAGGAGAGUGGAACUCCAUGUGUAGCGGUGAAAUGCGUAGAUAUAUGGAAGAACACUAGUGGCGAAAGCGGCUCUCUGGUCUGUAACUGACGCUGAGGUUCGAAAGCGUGGGUAGCAAACAGG